Molecule: long non-coding RNA, 620 nt
Organism: Pseudophryne corroboree (corroboree frog)
Lineage: Eukaryota; Metazoa; Chordata; Amphibia; Anura; Myobatrachidae
Exons: 5
Source: RefSeq, a predicted model, not a curated record
GAAGGAAGUGAGGUCAUCAAAGUUCCUCCUAUAUAAACAUGCACUUAGCCUCCAUGCUUCAUUGCAUGAUCACUGGCUCACUCCUGAUCACUAUUUGGAAGGUAUCAUAUCCAUAGGAUACCAUAAGGACUCUGUAUAGAUUUCUGCAUUUUUCACCUGUAUUGUGACUUCUGAGGUCCUCCAUGUGUGCAUGAAGUUGCCGAUUCCUCUUUUUUUCAUACGAAUGCUUCCCUUUUGAGCUCUUCGUAAUCUGAGUUACCAGAUUCACGAGGCUGACUUUAUGUCCUUAUUUCACGCCUCAUUGAUGUUUGGAAGCCCACGUAUGAACCUAUUCGGCCAAUGAUCUAGGCCUAUCACUCUUUUGGAUAGACAUUAUUAUCUAAGACGCACCCCUGAUGAAGUCCUAGUUCCUAGACGAAACGCGUUGGGUUACUGUAUUUCUUGUUAUCUCCGAAUAUUUAAUGAGGAAGAAUAAGGAUACAACAAAAAGGUUGCCUUCUUUCCUCCAUAUCCCAUUGAUGGAUUUCUGUAGGAGAAACUACAUCAUAAUGUACAUGUAAUAAUGAUGGAUAUACUUCAUGUUUCUGUAUAAUUGUUUUAAUAAAUUUUUAUGAAAAGUA